Molecule: ribosomal RNA, 150 nt
Filed under: Mucor lusitanicus
Lineage: Eukaryota; Fungi; Mucoromycota; Mucoromycetes; Mucorales; Mucoraceae
Description: 5.8S ribosomal RNA
Rfam family: 5.8S ribosomal RNA
About the family: 5.8S ribosomal RNA (5.8S rRNA) is a component of the large subunit of the eukaryotic ribosome. It is transcribed by RNA polymerase I as part of the 45S precursor that also contains 18S and 28S rRNA.
Source: RNAcentral
AACUUUUAACAACGGAUCUCUUGGUUCUCGCAUCGAUGAAGAACGCAGCAAAGUGCGAUAACUAGUGUGAAUUGCAUAUUCAGUGAAUCAUCGAGUCUUUGAACGCAACUUGCGCUCAUUGGUAUUCCAAUGAGCACGCCUGUUUCAGUA